This is a long non-coding RNA of Rhincodon typus (whale shark), 2653 nucleotides long. RefSeq lists it as uncharacterized. The transcript is spliced from 3 exons. The record is from RefSeq and is a predicted model, not a curated record. NCBI's taxonomy places the organism in Eukaryota, Metazoa, Chordata, Chondrichthyes, Orectolobiformes, Rhincodontidae.
GACUUAUGGUUUUUAGAGUGAUCGCUCAUGUCGCUCACGUGGUGAGUCCGGCAUUAGGACCUCGCAGCAGGAGAGUGGAGUCCGCGGCUUUGGGAACAGAUUCAGAUGGUCAGGUGUCAGGGUGGUCUGAGGGAGCCUACCCAAAAUAAUCCAGUCACUGUGUCCCAUAGAAGGAACAGCAUACAAAGGGGGCUCCCACAUGUCGGGGAAUGCAUCCACAAGGAAUGGGAAUGACUGCUUCUUGGACGAAUCCUUUGGAUCUGGAUCAGGGAUCGGUGUCAGAUCUCAGUUGGAGAUCAUUAGCUUCACACCAGAGGCUUCACUGGGAAGGUCUGAGCAGCAUUCCGCUCGGUCCUACAGCUCCCCUCACCACCCCCUCUCCCCAGAAUCACGAUGCAGCUUCGCUCUGCUUCCGUGCUUUCCAACAGUCUGCAACCAGUCUUUCGAGCCUGCCAUGAUUGUAAACUUUUCCUCUUCGCUCGCUCAGCCUGUGUGGGAGGUUUCCUGUGUGGCUUUACUUCCGCCAAAUAGAGGAAGGAUCCCGGAGGCAGUUAAAUAGAGCGGUGAUACUGUCAGUGAAAAAAUGGCCUAAUUCUCAUGUGCCUGUGCUUUACCACGCUGAAAGGAUGAGCUGGAUGUCCCAGCAAUGACACUGGUCUAUUGCACACGUGCAGGGGCGAAACCAUAAAGUGAAACUAUAAAUUGUUCCUUUCCCUGAGGAAGCAUCUGAUCACUGCUGGACCCUUCCGGAACACUUCCAUGUGGGAACUGACAGACACGUGUUUGUGUUCUAGAUAUUUUGCUAACCAACCUGCUGAGCGAUCUUACUGUUGACGUGUAACCAGAUGCGGAGCCAGCAUACCCACACCGAGUCCUUUCAGAUGGUACCUUUCACUCGUUAGCUACCUUGCCGGUGAUCAGACUGUGUGAGUGUAGAUCUUCAGUCUGAAUGCUGCGUGUAAAGCUGUUUUGAUGUUACCUUGUGGAGUUCUGGGAAAGCAGAGCUGCGCCCUGCAGCAGUAUUGAGACCCACGCCGAUUUUCGUUCGUGAGUGCUGUAAAAGACAUGCAGAAUCCAGUUUCUUUAUCAAAUUUUGUCUUGAAAGGAGGAUGUAUUUCAACCGGGAAUAAACAGGGGAAAUCCCUCACACAAACCAAUCGACGCAUGUUUAAUUUCUAAAAUAAAUUGGAGCCGCUACCAGAAAAGAAGCAAGGACGUCCAUUUCCACAGCGCCUAUCGUGAAUUCGAGACAUACCAAAGCGUUUCACAACCAAUACUUCCAAAAUGCUAAAAUGCUUUGGUGGGAAGAUUGAAUUAAAUUCACGUCUUGCACACGUUACAGUAGUCAUUAUACUUUAACAUGUUUCCGGCUACAUGCAAGUUUGCAUUUAAAGAUAGAAUCCAGAGGUAUGGUAAGAAAGAAUGAUCUGCAUUUGUUUAGUACUUAAUCAACAAGAACUUGCUUUGAUCUAGUCUUCAAUACAAAAAAAUACACCCAGUUGCUUUACAGAGGCAAAACUGGACAGGAGGAUAUUGGGUGACAAUAUACUUAGUUUAAAAAAGGUGCAAUUUUAAUUAAAUAUAUAAAUGAACCUAAAACGUUUUUAGAAUGUUUGCUUGGUAUGUUAUAAACUGGCAUGGAAAAAUAGCAAAAUGAUCUUUAUAAAUAUAUUAUCUCUCCUAUGUGGAACACAUAUGGUUUCCCCUUGUAUUUCUUCUUAAGAUCUUAAUUCUGGUUGUGAUAGGAUACCACAGGGACUUGAAAUCAGGCCACUCACUUAAAACUCUCUGAAGCAUGAUUCGUCAUCUAUCAGUUUGCACAAUGAGUCUCAGCAGGCCAUUUUACAACAGAGAAAAUCUGAUUCUAUUCCGAAUUAAUAUCUCACAUGGUACACAACCUUAAAGACCGGAAGAUCCCUGGCUUUGAUCCCUGGCUUGUGCUAAACAAAAAAAUUGAAAGAAGCGCAGAUGCUGGGAAUCACAAACAAAAACAAGAACAGAAAUUGCUGGAAAAACUCAGCACAUCUGGCAGCAUCUCGGAGAGAAAUCAGAGUGAAGGUUUUGGGUCUAAUGACUCUUCUUUAGAACUAUUCUGACUCUGAUUUCUGUCCACAGAUGCUGGCAGAUAUAAUGAGUUUUUCCAGCAAUUUCAGCCCUGGUUUAGGCUAUGUCUGUUAGGGUGUUAGGAAUUUGUUCAAGAUUCCCAUUCUAAAUUACUUUCCAGUAACUUCUGAUGAUAAGAAUCUUUAUGGACAUUGGAAAGAAUAAAGCUGGCUUUGGAUUUGAUGCCCACAAGAAGAAUGGCCAUUGAGAUGACAGCUGGUAUCCAGUGAACCAUGCUUCAGCAGAAAAGGUAUGAAACAUCUUUUUCUUAAAAAUUCUCAAAGCUCCUGCUGUUGAUCACUGUCCUGAUGGAUAAGUAUGUAGGUUAACAUCCAAUGAAAACAGGAAGACUUUCUGAAGCCCUCUGUGAUUUAGUUAUCUAGUGAUACUGGCUGUCUCGUUUCUUAUGUGAAGUCCAGGCUCCCUGGCGAGCUUCUGAAGUGUGGGGAGCUUGGACAUUCAUUACUCGUGGUUCUAUUGAUACAAACACUGGUGGGGAAUUGCGAUCUCGUUUGGCAUGAGUUUUCCUCCCUGCCCCAUAUUCCAGAAU